UUUGAGAGAGAGAGAACAAGCAGGGGAAAGGCAGGGGCAGAGGGAGAAGCAGACUCCCUGCUGCAUAGGGAGCCUGACUUGGAGCUCAAUGCCAGGACCCUGGGAUCAUGACCUGAGCUGAAAGCAGACGCUUAACCACUGAACCACCAAGGCACCGUGCAAAACACUUUUUAAUGUAAUUUUUAAAAUUGUGUAUCUGAAGUAUAUUUUGAGAAAUUUUAUCCAAAUAUUUCAAUGAAUGAAGGCUUCUGGUUUAAAGUGGCAAAUGUGACUGAUGUAGCCUUUCCUAAAUUCUCACUGAAACAUCUAUGAAGACCAAAAUAAUGGAAAUUCACACCAUCCAUUCAAAUUAGGAUUGAUGCUCAGCUUAAUGUCAGAAUCUAGGAGGAUUUCCCAUUACCUACUACAAGCCUCACAGGAUCAAAUUUUUAAAUGUUAUAUUAUGCCAAUCCACAAGCUAUGCCUCACCUUCUGCCCCUAGACCAGAAACUCAGGGUCUCUACUAACUAGGAAACUGACCAAGCUGUAGCUUUUCAAGUCAUCAAGAAUUGUGCCCACACCUCAGAUAAUAUUUCCCUUUAUAUGUCCAAGGGGAGAUAGAGUUCCCAGAAAACUGGUUAAGCAUGGAGAAAUGACUAGAAGUACCAUUUGGCAUUCCAGGAUGCACAUUUCCUACGACUAAUUUAGUAGAUAGGGAACGAAUAUCAAAAGAGGCUUAGAAGAACAUUCUGGGGAUUAUCAUUUUCAUGCUGAGAGUGUCCAAUUCAGCAGUUGUCAACAUCACAGCAGAACCACAAGAAAUUAAAACUCACUUACAGGAGGAGUUGGACUACAUACCAUUUGUAUCAACUUGAUGACUGGCUGAAGAUCUAAAAGGGGAUUUGACCACCACUCAAGUGGUCAGAAAAGCCAAUUUGAUAAGCACAGUGUCUGGAAAAACUAUUCCUUUUUCAAAAAGGAUAAAACAAAAGGGCAAAGCAAAGAAGUCUAUUGUGGAGCAUGAAGACUCAGAGGAAUGGUGGAUUUCUAAAAGUGAUAUACGAAACCAGAAGAAAAUUUGAAGAAAUAAUUUGGCCUCCUAAAGAAAAUAAUGGCCACUAUAAAACAGUAAACAAAAGACAUUUAGUGAGAAUAAUAAUAGAAUAAAAGUAUAGAAAAGAAUUUCAAGGUGAUAUAAAAGAUUUUGUACUGAAAGGAACCCAGUAAUGAUACUUAACCAGAGGAAACCAAGUGAGCUUGCUACUAUGAUAAGAAGUAUGGCCACUGUGGUAACCAGAACAUUUCAACAACAGGAACUUUUGGGGUCAUGAGCUUUUUAGGAACAAAAUACUACCUAAUCCAUAACACAACUGAGAGCCAUGACUCCUCAACCAAUUCUGAGACCUAAGGCAAUUUACACUCCUAUAGUCCCCUUGAAUGCAGGGAAGGUUAUAACUUGAGGAAGGCCCUUGAAAUAACAUCAAAGUAUGUUCUGCCAUCUUUCUUCUGGCCUUUCUUGAUGGAGCUUGCACCCAUUCACUAGGGUUACAGUGCACUAAGGAAAGGAACAUCUCCAAAACAUUCAGAUAUUUACCAUUUACUCUGAGUCAACACAAAUUCAUAGAAAGUGAUAUUGUUACAGUGGUCCACUUGUCAAAAUGGUCCCCAAAUAAAGAAAUAAAAAGAAGUUUUAGUUGAGACUAUUUCAUUAUUGGCCAGUGACACUCUGAACCCCUCAUAUUGUUAAUCCCCGUUAGCUACCUGAACCUUGAAGAAUUACUACUACUACUACUACUACUACUACUACUACUACUACUACUACUGCUGCUGCUACUACUACUAAUAAUAAUCACUAACACUUGAGUACUUGCAAUGUGUCAGCCACUGUUAUUAAUUUUUAUAUGCAUUCACUUGUUUAAUCCUCACAGCAAACUUGUGCUACUAUUAUCCUCAUUUUAUGUAUAAAGAAAUUAAAACACAGAUAAGUUAAGUAACGCCCAAGUUUAUAAAGCUUGUAAGUGCCAGAUUCUAGAUUCAUCUCUGAUGAUUCUGAUGUGAAUCCAUGUUUCUUCUAAAGGCUAUUAUAAAAGCUUCUUCUUUCUACCAAGAUAUAAGCCAGAAACCACAAAACAUUUCUCGGGAAAUCAUGGAGAACAUCAAGGGUGUUAGAGGAAGAAAUCACAAAAGCAUCUGUAAUUUCAUGACUAUUUAUAAGAGUAAAAGCUGAAAAAUGUGUUUGUGUCCCUCAAUAUGUCAAAUGUUUAUGUACAUAUACAUAUACAUAUGCAUUUUAUACAGAUUAAAAUAUAUAUGUUAAUAUAUUAUAGUUAGUAUAUUUAAUCAUUAAAAUUUAUUAAGUAGUAAUUGAAAAUUAAUUAAUCUAAAAGUACAUAAUUUUAUAUGUGUAAUUUUCUUUUUUCUUUCUUCUGCCACUUUACAUUAAGUUAUUUGGAUUACAAACUUAACAACUUGGGCUAUAGGUUGCAGAAUAUCAAGGUAGAAUCACAACAGAACUAAAGGGAAGUUGAUUAUAAGCCAGAUUUUGAAGUUGUCUGUUUAUGGAGUAUGAAAUAUUGAGUAGAAAGUAAGCUUAGAGUGGCAUGCCUCAGCACCAGGCCCAAGCUCAAGGCGUUCCUGGCAUCCCCAGAGCACGUGAACCGCUCCAUCAAUGGCAACAGGAAGCAGUGAGAGCUUGUGGCACCCUGGGUGGGAAGCUGGGGGGCUGCUUGACCUCCUUUCUCCCUGACCAAUAAAAUUUCCAAGUGAGAAGCAAAAAAAGAAAAAAGAAAGAAAAAAGAAAAUAAGCUUAUAUCUACGUGUAUGAAGGAAAAUUAUUUUACAUUACUUGUUUUAUGUUUUGUACUCCUUUUUUAUGGGUAGUAAAUAAGUCUUUUUCAACCAGAUUCCAGCCUUCCAUGAUUCCCCUUGAUUUUAUGAGACUUCUGGAGACUCAUAGGUAAUUUUUUAAAUAUUUAAUCAGGGGGACCUGGGUGGCUCAGUCGAUUAAGCACCAACUCUUGAUUUUGGCUCAGGUCAUGAUCUCAGGGUCCUCAGAUCAGCCUUACAUCAGGCUCCACACUGGCUGUGGAGCCUGUUUAAUAUUCUCUCUCUCCCUCUGCCUCUGCCCCUCUACCCACUUGCACUCCCUAUCAAUCAAUCAAAUUAAAUUACCAGAAUUGGUUUCCAUUAUUUUGCAACUGAAAAACUUAACUACACGCAUUUAUUCUGUGCCUUUACAUUUAAGGAAGGGGAUUUAAGCCUAUUUAUGGAUCUUGGGAAAGUUGCCAAAAGAGAAAUAUUAUUAAGAUAGAGAAGAAAGAGAGAGGAAAAAAAAAUAAAUGAAGUAAUGAAAAAGAAUAUGAAGAGACAGAAAAAUGAGAGAAUCUCAGUGUAUUUAUUAAGCCAAAAAUAUUUGUUAAGCACCAACUAUGUGUUAUAGAGUUUAAAAGUUUUAUAGAUAUUUUAGUUUGGAAGACAGAAGAAAACUUCUCCAAAAGUCAUUAGAUUUCAUCUUAAUGUCAUCCAAGGACAUAGUUGGUUUCCUUGUGAAUCCUAAGAAUGUCCAUAAACGCACCACUUUUUCCUCCUCAGAGCUGUGCCCUGGAGCUUUCAUAGAUCCUCAGAGCUAUGAAAAUUAGCAGAAAAACCAGGAUAUAUGAAGUAUGAUGGAAGCCAAGGACGGAGAAACAUGCAAGAAGGAAUAGAGGGAAAGAAAAGAGGAGCACGUCAUUCUGUACCCAAUAUAUCCACAUGCUGUAGAGGCAUAACAAUGUUGAAUACUGCAAAACAUCAAAAAUAACUAGAAUUGAGUAAAGAACUAGAAUUGCUGCGUAAUUAGGGAAUAAAACAGACAAGUUGAAUAUUAACACCUAGAAGAAAAAUUAAAUGAGAAUAAAAUGUAAAAGUUAGAAUUCACACUUUUCAGUAAAUACAAAACAAAUAAAUUACUAAAAGUUAGAGUUGUGAGCUGAAGCAGAAUUCAAACCAACUGGAAACUGUCAUUUUCAGUAACAAAAUAGAAGUCAACAAAAAAUGAAAUGAAGAAUUUCUCAGCAUGGUGAAUACCCAGCAUGAAAUUGUGGUGGAUCCAGUAAUAGUCAAAAGCUCUGAAAAAAGAAUCAGACUCAGGCUCACUCAGUCAUGAGAGUUGACAAAAUAGGAGUAACAGAAGGCCAAGAGGGCAAAGGAUUCCAGCACAGAUUUAAGUGUUCAACUGAUUUUGUGGGAAAGCACAUACUAUAAGAAGCACAUUUUUACUUUACGUAAUAGUACAAGCAUUAAAAUGAGCAUAGCCCAAGAAAUUCAGGCAGAUUGUAUUUAAAAAUUUAGAACAAUCUUAUAAAAUAUUAUCUAUGAAGGGCAGUGUGAUAGUCAUUUGAUCCCAACUAGGAUAAAAAUCAUCACAUGAUUUUGUAUUUGCAUAGAUAUUUACAAUUCAAUUUCUUGUUCUGAAUGCUUAUUCCAGAUAUUUGCUUUGUGGAAUUUUCAUCAUCAAGCUGGAUACUCAUGAGAAAAUUUCUCUAUAAAUACUUGUAUUCUAAAAAAAAAAUAAAAAUAAAAAUAAAUACUUGUAUUCUACAAUGAAACAAUUACUUUUUUUUUAAUAAAUCUCCACAGAUGGGAUCCCUGGGUGGCGCAGCAGUUUGGCGCCUGCCUUUGGCCCAGGGCGCGAUCCUGGAGACCCGGGAUUGAAUCCCACGUCGGGCUCCCAGUGCAUGGAGCCUGCUUCUCCCUCUGCCUGUGUCUCU
Molecule: long non-coding RNA, 4727 nt
Filed under: Canis lupus familiaris (dog)
Lineage: Eukaryota; Metazoa; Chordata; Mammalia; Carnivora; Canidae
Description: lncRNA (ENSCAFG00845001982.1)
Source: RNAcentral